Molecule: ribosomal RNA, 208 nt
Filed under: uncultured bacterium
Lineage: Bacteria
Description: partial 16S ribosomal RNA
Rfam family: Bacterial small subunit ribosomal RNA
Source: RNAcentral
CGUGUAGGCGGCUCGUUAAGUCAUGCGUGAAAGCCCUCGGCUUAACCGAGGAAGUGCGUAUGAUACUGGCGAGCUAGAGUUCGGAAGAGGGGGGUGGAAUUCCAGGUGUAGCGGUGAAAUGCGUAGAUAUCUGGAGGAACACCGGUGGCGAAGGCGACCCCCUGGUCCGACACUGACGCUGAGACGCGAAAGCGUGGGUAAGCAAACA